This 360-nucleotide unclassified non-coding RNA is filed under the name fungal sp. Its description in RNAcentral is "partial internal transcribed spacer region". The stretch from base 1 to 46 matches the Rfam family "Eukaryotic small subunit ribosomal RNA", at positions 1786 to 1831 of the family's 1831-position model. Lineage: Eukaryota; Fungi. The record is from RNAcentral.
AAGUCGUAACAAGGUUUCCGUAGGUGAACCUGCGGAAGGAUCAUUAAUACGUAUCCACGUAUCAACCGAAUCGUGAACAAGUUUUCCGCCUUGGUCGAUGAGAGGAAUUGCGGUUCAGUUUUACCACUCACUUUGAUGGGAGUGGAAGAUGAUGUGCAAACUGCCGGUCCUAGAGGCUUCGCAAGAGGUUUCUAGCUCAUCCCAAGUGUGGCUCAUAAAUCUGACACAUCAUCAUUUUUUCAAACUUUUAACCCCCUGUAAACAAUUCUGAACUGAAAACAUGUUCUUUUGCUUUAACCGGCAAAAGUCCAAAAAUCCGAAAUUAUGAAACAACUCUUAACAACGGAUAUCUUGGUUCUC